Non-coding RNA from Biomphalaria pfeifferi, 1052 nucleotides. NCBI's taxonomy places the organism in Eukaryota, Metazoa, Mollusca, Gastropoda, Planorbidae. The record is from the annotation of a GenBank genome assembly.
AAAAUGUAAUCACACACAGGCAGCUCUCUUAUGGGUUCACUCAUAUUUUCACAAAAUUGGUAGAUGGACAGGUUUUAAAACAAAACAAUCAAAAUAUUGAAAAAUUGUUAGUUUUUUUUUUAACUUAUCAAAGAGUAGGAACUCUGCACUUAAAACUCAAUAAUAUAGAGGUUAUUUCCCUUAUUUGAUAUAAAACAAAAUAAUUGGUUAAUUGUUUAAAAUUCAUUAAUGUUUUGUUAGGUACAAUAAAUACUUUUUCUUUUAAGUUUCAAUUUUAUAGGUUUGUGUACAAACUUUUUACCAGACAGACACAGGGAGUUCUUAUAAGCUUUGUAACAAUAUGCAGCUUUUUCUCUUAAGGUGGCAACUUGCAAAGAAAAAUUCAUAUUUGUCCUCAUUUCCUUUCUAAUGUAACUCUUGCAUUGCAUCUGUUAUCUGCUGUUUAUUUACAUUUUGAAUUAUUAGAGCUUUUACAUUAAAAAAAAAAUACAGUGAAAACAUUUGAAAAUGAAGGGAAAAUUGUGAUAGAUUUUGAAAUAAAUAUCAGGGCUCUAAAUUGAAAGAUAACUGUUGCCAUCAGUUUUUUAAAAUUCCUCCGUAAUUCCAGUCAAGGGUAAAGAAGUCAAAUAAGGAAAUUAUGGUUAUGGUCUUUAUAUUCAGUCACAAUAUUAUUUUUAAUUGUGAAGCAUUUUGAGUUCUCUGUAAUUUUAAUACAAAAGUGAAAAAGACUAAAACAUUUGUUUCAGAUACGGUAUUCCUAUCAAUGUGUUCUUAUCAAUCUUAUCCAGAAGGGAAAGAGGAAGUGAAAAAAGAAAAACAUAAAAAAAGUGUAAUUGUAUCAGUCACGUAUUAAAUUAAUAGAUAUGCGAUUAGAAAUUUUUUUAGCAAUUGUUUAGCACUACAGCAUGAUUUAAGCUUUCUCAAAACGUCAUGAUCCUAUCACUUGUCUGGACCAGUUGGGAAAAUUGGGGAAGGGGUGAGAAAGGGAUAUCUGGGUGAAUUCUACAAUUAGUUUUUUUAAAGCCUUUAUAUAAAAAAAAAGGGGGGGGGGG